Molecule: small nuclear RNA, 113 nt
Filed under: Macaca nemestrina (pig-tailed macaque)
Lineage: Eukaryota; Metazoa; Chordata; Mammalia; Primates; Cercopithecidae
Source: RNAcentral
GUGCUCACUUUUGAACAGCACAUAUACCAAAACUGGAACUAUUUCAAGAGUUAUCUACCAUGGCCCCCCUGGCACAAGAUGACAAUCAUAUUUGUGAACAUUUUUAAAUUUUU